UACGUAGGGUGCGAGCGUUAAUCGGAAUUACUGGGCGUAAAGCGUGCGCAGGCGGUUUUGUAAGCCAGAUGUGAAAUCCCCGGGCUUAACCUGGGAAUGGCAUUUGGGACUGCAAGGCUGGAGUGUGGCAGAGGAGACUGGAAUUCCCGGUGUAGCAGUGAAAUGCGCAGAUAUCGGGAGGAACACCGGUGGCGAAGGCGGAUCUCUGGGCCAUUACUGACGCUGAGGAGCGAAAGCGUGGGGAGCGAA
RNAcentral lists this ribosomal RNA (249 nucleotides) under uncultured bacterium. RNAcentral describes it as "partial 16S ribosomal RNA". It matches the Rfam family "Bacterial small subunit ribosomal RNA", at positions 524 to 772 of the family's 1533-position model. The record is from RNAcentral.